Molecule: long non-coding RNA, 3530 nt
Filed under: Gallus gallus (chicken)
Lineage: Eukaryota; Metazoa; Chordata; Aves; Galliformes; Phasianidae
Description: lncRNA (ENSGALG00010026201.1)
Source: RNAcentral
CUCAUUAGGAGGAUUGUGUUGGCAGAGUCUCUUUGAGCGUGUGAAGCUGCUUCUUUAAGAGAGAGUUUCCUGCUCAUCUGCUGGCUGUGUGCAUCCUACAGCUGGCUGGCAUCAGCUCCAGGAGGCAGGCAUUAAUUGGGCUGUUCCUUUCCAUUCUGGCAAUGGGUGGUCUUCUUGGCAAGAACAAGAGGCUCUGUGUGUUCCCUAAGAAAGUUACUUUUCGUAAGACCAAGGGGAAAAAGGCAUCUGGGACUGCAGGUAUGUCCUGUGAUGCUUCAACGUGGACUGGGGAGAACCAUUUUUAUUCAGCACGCAUAGGAAGGACCCCCAGAGCCCCUGAACCUUCUCUUGCACAGUCAGAUUCCUUAAACACCCCUGAAGGUGAAUCUGCUGCUCAAGCUAAAAAGGAUGUAGGAGCUGCAUCUCUGCACAUACAACAUACUGAGGUCUCACUUCGUGCCUCUUCUAGAGAUGCACGCAAUAGUGAGGAGCCACAGGACCCUGAAACCAAACCCAGCACAGAGGGGAUGAAGAACCAGAAGCUUGCUGAGCAGCCAAAACAAGAAGCCCAAUCUGCCAGAGGCAAUCUACAAGGGAUGAGGAAAGCUCAAGCUGAUGAGCAUCCUACUGGUGCCUGUAUACCCCAUGAGCAACCCAGCUGCAGGGAUGAUGAAGUGAGGCCUCUCACUGAGACAACUGUGAAGGCUGAAGUCCACGUGUGUGCAGAAGCCCAAGGUGAGGUUCAGCCUGCUAGAGUGGAGUCCAGGCUGUCAAUCCCUGCAGAAGAAGAUGCAACAGUUCUGUGUGAUUCAGAGGAAACUCGUGAGGGAAAGGAUCAUCAUGAAGUGCCUGUGGAGAAGGCAGCUGAGUCCCCACCUGCUCUGUGUACCAUGCAGGAGUCAGAGCUGCUUUUGAAGGCCAUGGAGACAAGAGAAGACAUCACAAGUAUGCAGAGAGGUGCAGAAAAGCAAGCAGGAGAAGAGAAAGCACACUUUUCUGCUAAAGCCUCACCUGAUCCCCACUUGGAACAUGAUAAAGAGGUUCCUACUCAGGAGUAUGUGGAAGAAAAUGCUUUUGAAUCAGAGCAAGCUGAAGAACAGACUGAGGUUGGUGAUGAUGGACAAACAUCAAAUGAGAUCCCAUGCUGCCAGGCAGAAACCCAGGCUGCUCUGCAGGAUAAGGAGGAGAUCAAAGCCAGCAAUGGGGGAAAACAGCCUGCUGAUGAGGAGUGUUGAAAGAGCACACGGAGCCUGGUGCAGCCACCACUGAGCAGGCUGAGGGUUUGUCUGCAGCAGAGCAAAGAAUCUGCUGCCUUGAUCCUGCAAGGAACCAGAAUGGACAAGUAACCAGUGGCUGCUUGCAUCCUAGUGGGCACAGCGGGCAAGUUGUUUACGAAGCCUGCUUUAGAAAGUGGGACUCAAACAGCAAGCUGGUGCAUAGCCUUCCACAGGUGGCACUGACCCCCUUCUUUCCCUAACAGGGGGGUGGUGAAGGGACACAAGUAUAUUUCAGUACAAGAAGUGUAUUUAUGUAUAUUACUUUUUUCCACAUGCACAUACACCUGAGCAAGGGUUAUAGAGUUUGUAGUUCUCUCCCUCUGUGUAACUACACAGGGUUAAGUCUUUAACAAACAAGCCAGAUUUAUUAAUUACAUGUGUCUGUGCACCUCACUCUGACUGUCACUGUUUGAAGCUAUGUUGUGUGGUCUGCAAUGCAACUGGAACCAAUAAAUGGGCAUGUUUUAAUGCUUGCUGAUACAGAUUGUCUUAUUAAUGCCCAGCUGCUCCAUGGUUUGUGCUAGUUGUGUGCAGGUGGAAGAGUUAGGAGAAGAGCCCUGUGAAAGUGGUUGUUUCCAAAGCAUAACCAUUAAGAGGUGUUUCUAAUGGUCAUUUUGCUGCAAUAAAUGUGUCAGGUUACCGCAUACAUGAUGCUGGUCUCUAAUGUAGUUUUUAAAUGCAGGGAGUCUUCUUGUAAAACCUGAUUAGUUGGGCAGCUGUUGCUUAACUUCAAAAGCAGUGCAGUGCUGAAAAGGACUGGAAAAAGCACACAGCCUAGAUCUUUCCCUUUAAUUUCAACCAAAAAAAUAACAGGACUGCACCAAAUGAUUCUGCUAGAGCUUAUGGGGAAUUAUAAGUGUACUUAGACAGAAAGCUGGAGAGACAGAAUGUAUAGGAGAGUGAGAUUAAUCUUCCCUAAGGAAACCAUUUCCAGCUAUUGUGUUCUUGUGUGCUUCCUAUAUUAACUGUAUUCAUAGAGGGAGGAAAAGAAAAUAGUUAAAGGCAAGUCAGGAUAUGAGGAUUUUGAAAGGCAUGCAUCUAUUUAAAGGAUGAUUGGUUUUACUGUCUUUAUGUGCUUAAUCACAUCAAGAAUAUAGCGUAUCUUUAUGUAUUUCUUUUAAAUCAAAGGAUCAGGCUGGUAUGUAGUGAGUCUAUCAGUUUAAGCCAGCCUUCCUUAAAACAUUUGCCCUUAUGACCAAAGCAGAAUGGAAACACUGGUCAUGGAAAUGUCAGUGGCUCUCACUUAACACAGAGCACGUUCCCUCCCCUUGGCUGUUAUGUAAAAUCCUGAAGGUACCUACAUCAGUUCAUUAUGUUGACAAGCUGCCCUGGGUUGGCUGUAUCUAAUGAACUGCUGCUUAGGUUAGUCUGGAAGAAUGGAUAUGCCCUCUGUACUUAGAAUUAAACAACUCAUGUGUGGGUCUGGAGGCUUCUCUUUGCUGAUGCUGAAAAAGAAACAAAGCCCGCAAAGAGCCACAGAAGCAUCUCUGCAUUGUUCUGCCAGCGUCUUACGUACUUAGAUCGGUAACUAUAAUUAAUUGCCAAGUAUUUUCAGAGGUUGGUAUUAAUCAUCUCUCUGUUCUGUGGCUGCUGAGAGGACUCGUGGCAAUGCAUUUGACAAUGCAGUGCAAAGAAAUGUUGAAAGCAAUGAAAUAUUCAGGAUGAAUAUCACAAUGCUAAGAGAUAAAGGAAUGUUUUUUUUCCUUAUGAACAGUGCUGAACAGCAGGAAGGAAGGAGUUAAAAGGGACAGAUUAAGAUGUGAAGUAGAUGGCAUCCUUGCAUGUACUCCUGCCAAAGGACCGUGGCAGUGAUGGUGAUGUAGGAUUCCUAGGGUGACUUUCUAUCACUGGCUUUGGGUAAGCAGCUCAGAACUUGAAGCAAAGAUCUCUGGUACUGGGAAGAAUAUGUUUGCAUUCUCACAUUAAAGAAUCAUUCAUUUUCAAACUAUGCUUGUCGCUGUAUUUUAUGCUUGUGAUUAAAUUAAUGCUUGCAUCUCACUACUCAACAAGGAGCCACGUAACAGUGAUUCAUCAAUUCACUCCCAUUAUGACUGUUGUUAUUAUGUAGCUGAGACUGAAGGUAUCAGUCUAAUCACAGCAUAAGGUAUGGUUACAUGAUAUUGCUGACAUUCUAAAACAAACAGGUGGUUGGGGUCAAUUUCAAUGCCAACAUACCGAACACUGCAGGCUACAGUUCCACUAUUCCUAAAUCCAAGCCUACAUCACACUGGCUUACAACAUAUCUAUUCCAGU